This 515-nucleotide ribosomal RNA is filed under the name uncultured bacterium. RNAcentral's name for it is "partial 16S ribosomal RNA". It matches the Rfam family "Bacterial small subunit ribosomal RNA", at positions 28 to 523 of the family's 1533-position model. The record is from RNAcentral.
GAUGAACGCUGGCGGCGUGCCUAAUACAUGCAAGUCGAGCGAAUGGAUUAAGAGCUUGCUCUUAUGAAGUUAGCGGCGGACGGGUGAGUAACACGUGGGUAACCUGCCCAUAAGACUGGGAUAACUCCGGGAAACCGGGGCUAAUACCGGAUAACAUUUUGAACCGCAUGGUUCCAAAUUGACAGGCGGCUUCGGAUGUCACUUAUGUAUGGACCCGCGUCGCAUUAGCUAGCUGGUGAGGUAACGGCUCACCAAGGCAACGAUGCGUAGCCGACCUGAGAGGGUGAUCGGCCACACUGGGACUGAGACACGGACCAGACUCCUACGGGAGGCAGCAGUAGGGAAUCUUCCGCAAUGGACGAAAGUCUGACGGAGCAACGCCGCGUGAGUGAUGAAGGCUUUCGGGUCGUAAAACUCUGUUGUUAGGGAAGAACAAGUGCUAGUUGAAUAAGCUGGCACCUUGACGGUACCUAACCAGAAAGCCACGGCUAACUACGUGCCAGCCGCCGCCGUAA